AUUGAACGCUAGCGGGAUGCUUUACACAUGCAAGUCGAACGGCAGCGCGGACUUCGGUCUGGCUUCGAGUGGCGAACGGGUGAGUAAUGUAUCGGAACGUGCCCAGUAGCGGGGUAUAACUACGCGAAAGCGUAGCUAAUACCGCAUACGCCCUACGGGGGAAAGCAGGGGAUCGUAAGACCUUGCACUAUUGGAGCGGCCGAUGUCGGAUUAGCUAGUUGGUGAGGUAACGGCUCACCAAGGCGACGAUCCGUAGCUGGUUUGAGAGGACGACCAGCCACACUGGGACUGAGACACGGCCCAGACUCCUACGGGAGGCAGCAGUGGGGAAUUUUGGACAAUGGGGGCAACCCUGAUCCAGCCAUCCCGCGUGUGCGAUGAAGGCCUUCGGGUUGUAAAGCACUUUUGGCAGGAAAGAAACGUCGCGGGCUAAUACCCCGUGGAACUGACGGUACCUGAAGAAUAAGCACCGGCUAACUACGUG
Molecule: ribosomal RNA, 484 nt
Filed under: uncultured bacterium
Lineage: Bacteria
Description: partial 16S ribosomal RNA
Rfam family: Bacterial small subunit ribosomal RNA
Source: RNAcentral